GGGACGCGAAGGGGCGUGGACCGUCGGACUGGGCCGCAAGGCGGUGUGGCUGGGAUGUGGUGUGGCCUGAUUAAACGUUGGGAUCGGGUGUAAGGCUAGACGCAAAGGCCCACUUCAUGCUAGUCCGGUACGGGGCGACGAGCAUUAGCAUUCAAGCACUCAAGCACUGUACUGAAUAUCCGUACACAGCAAACCGACUCAAUGUUCGACGCCCU
RNAcentral lists this long non-coding RNA (215 nucleotides) under Volvox carteri. Its description in RNAcentral is "long non-coding RNA (VCAR_LNC000540)". Lineage: Eukaryota; Viridiplantae; Chlorophyta; Chlorophyceae; Chlamydomonadales; Volvocaceae. The record is from RNAcentral.